This 1901-nucleotide small RNA is filed under the name Pan troglodytes (chimpanzee). Its description in RNAcentral is "retained intron". Lineage: Eukaryota; Metazoa; Chordata; Mammalia; Primates; Hominidae. The record is from RNAcentral.
UGGAAACAGCUGAUCUAUAUGCUACCAAGGUACAGAGCAAGGAAACUGAAGUGUGGUUUUUACCAAUAUUAUUAAAGAGAGAACAAGACUAAAUGGCUUUUUAGAUUUCUCUGUGGCCAAGCAAGAGAUACCUCACAGCUUCUAUAUCAGCCAUGAAGCAUUAGGGAUAAGGGAUCUUCACUCUUCAUGAAAUUGCUCCUGUCACUAGCAAAAUCCUUAAUGGAACACUCUCAAAAGUAGCAAUUGGUGGGAUAGUCAGAAGAGGCUUUUCAACAUUUAGGAAGGUGGCACGUACCACCUCCUACUAACCUGGGAUAAAGAUGGUAGCUACUUUUAUUCCUUUAUAAGUUAGUAAUAUUAUAAGAGCAGUAGACACCUAUCUGCCAUGGAUGGCCUAGCCCUAUUUUAAAGGAUCCAGAUCAAUAAGUGUCGAAACUGUAAGAAGUAACUUUCCUAUGUACAUCUAAAAUAAAAUAUAAUUUAAAUGUGCAAAAUCUGUUAGUGAAGAUUGCAAACUUUUAAUUCUUUUUGAGGAUAACUUUACAGGAGUAACCUUAUAGGACAGAGGUUAACAUAGGCUUUGGAAACAGAUAAACCUGAGCCUACUCACCAGCUGUGUGACUUUGAGCAAGUUAUCGAACCUCUCAAAGCCUCAAUUUUCUUAUCUGUAAAAUUAAGAUAAUAGAACGUAUCUCAUAAGAGUUGUUAUGAAGAUUAAGUGGAUAAUGCAUGUAAGAUGUUUAUCCCAGUCUCUAGCUAAAAGCAAGCAUUCAGUAAAUGCUGGCCACAACUACUGUUAUUAGUUUAAUAUUAUUACAAUGUAUGGUUUUUUGACUUAGCCUGAACAGUGAUUCAUAGAGGGAAGAAUACUUGUGUUGAAUAUAAAUUUAUAUUUUGCUGAAAACUAUGUUUUGUGUUUGUUUUCCCCCAGGAGAGAAUAGAAUACUCCAAAACCUUCAAGGGGAAAUAUUUUAAUUUUCUUGGUUACUUUUUCUCUAUUUACUGUGUUUGGAAAAUUUUCAUGGCUACCAUCAAUAUUGUUUUUGAUCGAGUUGGGAAAACGGAUCCUGUCACAAGAGGCAUUGAGAUCACUGUGAAUUAUCUGGGAAUCCAAUUUGAUGUGAAGUUUUGGUCCCAACACAUUUCCUUCAUUCUUGUUGGAAUAAUCAUCGUCACAUCCAUCAGAGGAUUGCUGAUCACUCUUACCAAGUUCUUUUAUGCCAUCUCUAGCAGUAAGUCCUCCAAUGUCAUUGUCCUGCUAUUAGCACAGAUAAUGGGCAUGUACUUUGUCUCCUCUGUGCUGCUGAUCCGAAUGAGUAUGCCUUUAGAAUACCGCACCAUAAUCACUGAAGUCCUUGGAGAACUGCAGUUCAACUUCUAUCACCGUUGGUUUGAUGUGAUCUUCCUGGUCAGCGCUCUCUCUAGCAUACUCUUCCUCUAUUUGGCUCACAAACAGGCACCAGAGAAGCAAAUGGCACCUUGAACUUAAGCCUACUACAGACUGUUAGAGGCCAGUGGUUUCAAAAUUUAGAUAUAAGAGGGGGGAAAAAUGGAACCAGGGCCUGACAUUUUAUAAACAAAAUGCUAUGGUAGCAUUUUUCACCUUCAUAGCAUACUCCUUCGCCCUCAGGUGAUACUAUGACCAUGAGUAGCAUCAGCCAGAACAUGAGAGGGAGAACUAACUCAAGACAAUACUCAGCAGAGAGCAUCCCGUGUGGAUAUGAGGCUGGUGUAGAGGCGGAGAGGAGCCAAGAAACUAAAGGUGAAAAAUAUACUGGAACUCUGGGGCAAGAGAUGUCUAUGGUAGCUGAGCCAAACACGUAGGAUUUCCCUUUUAAGGUUCAUAUGGAAAAGGUUAUAGCUUUCCCUUGAGAUUGACUCAUUAAAAUCAGAGACUGUAA